Molecule: ribosomal RNA, 498 nt
Filed under: uncultured bacterium
Lineage: Bacteria
Description: partial 16S ribosomal RNA
Rfam family: Bacterial small subunit ribosomal RNA
Source: RNAcentral
AUUGAACGCUGGCGGCAUGCCUUACACAUGCAAGUCGAACGGUAACGCGGGGCAACCUGGCGACGAGUGGCGAACGGGUGAGUAAAGCAUCGGAACGUGCCCAGUAGUGGGGGAUAGCCCGGCGAAAGCCGGAUUAAUACCGCAUACGACCUAUGGGUGAAAGGGGGGGAUCGCAAGACCUCCCGCUAUUGGAGCGGCCGAUGUCAGAUUAGGUAGUUGGUGGGGUAAAGGCCUACCAAGCCGACGAUCUGUAGCUGGUCUGAGAGGACGACCAGCCACACUGGGACUGAGACACGGCCCAGACUCCUACGGGAGGCAGCAGUGGGGAAUUUUGGACAAUGGGCGCAAGCCUGAUCCAGCCAUGCCGCGUGCGGGAAGAAGGCCUUCGGGUUGUAAACCGCUUCUGUCAGGGAAGAAAUCCUUUGGGUUAAUACCUCGGGGGGAUGACGGUACCUGAAGAAUAAGCACCGGCUAACUACGUGCCAGCCGCCGCAGUAA